GACGAACGCUGGCGGCGUGCUUAACACAUGCAAGUCGAACGGUGAAGCGCCUUCCUUGUGGGUGGGUGGGGAGGAGUGGCGAACGGGUGAGUAACACGUGAGUAACCUGCCCCCUGCUUCUGGAUAACCGCAUGAAAGUGUGUCUAAUACGGGAUAUUCUGGGUCUGUCGCAUGAUGGGUCUGGGAAAGCUAUUGUGUCGGGGGUGGAUGGGCUGGGGUCCUGUCAGGUGGUUGGUGGGUUGAUGGUCUACCAGGGGUGUGGCGGUUAGACGGCUUGAGAGGGUGGCCGGUCAGAGUGGGAGUGAGGCACGGUCGGGACUCCUAUGCGAGGCAGCCGCGGGGAGGAGUGAACAAUGGGGGAAAGCCUGAUGCAGCGGCGACGCGUGAGGGAUGGCGGCGUUCGGGUUGUGAACGUCUUUCGCCAGUGAAGCAGGUCUGCCUCGUUUGUGGGUGGGUUGACGGUAGCUGGAUAAGAAGCGCCGGCUAACUACGUG
This 494-nucleotide ribosomal RNA is filed under the name uncultured bacterium. Its description in RNAcentral is "partial 16S ribosomal RNA". It matches the Rfam family "Bacterial small subunit ribosomal RNA", at positions 28 to 507 of the family's 1533-position model. The record is from RNAcentral.